RNAcentral lists this ribosomal RNA (467 nucleotides) under uncultured bacterium. Its description in RNAcentral is "partial 16S ribosomal RNA". The stretch from base 20 to 330 matches the Rfam family "Bacterial small subunit ribosomal RNA", at positions 47 to 358 of the family's 1533-position model. The record is from RNAcentral.
GACGAACGCUGGCGGCGUGCUUAACACAUGCAAGUCGAACGGAAAGGCCCUGCUUUUGUGGGGUGCUCGAGUGGCGAACGGGUGAGUAACACGUGAGUAACCUGCCCUUGACUUUGGGAUAACUUCAGGAAACUGGGGCUAAUACCGGAUAGGAGCUCCUGCUGCAUGGUGGGGGUUGGAAAGUUUCGGCGGUUGGGGAUGGACUCGCGGCUUAUCAGCUUGUUGGUGGGGUAGUGGCUUACCAAGGCUUUGACGGGUAGCCGGCCUGAGAGGGUGACCGGGGAAAGGGGGAAAGGGAAAAGGAGGGGAGAACGACGGGAGGGAAGAGGGGGGGAAAGAGGAAGAGAGGGGGGAGAAAGAAGGAGAAAAGCAGGGGGGGGGAGGAGGGCGUUAGGGAUGGAAAAAGCGUUUGCGUGUGACGAAGGGCGAGUGAAGGGAAUGGGGAAAGGAGCAGCGGAAGACUAAGA